UGCAGACAUGACUAUAAGUCACUUUGGAUAGAAGUGUCUGUUAAAUUGUAUAUA
Non-coding RNA from Salmo salar (Atlantic salmon), 54 nucleotides. The record is from Rfam. Lineage: Eukaryota; Metazoa; Chordata; Actinopteri; Salmoniformes; Salmonidae.